GUGUGAGUGCCCGUGCGGAUAGGUUCUGUUGUAUGCAGUCCUCAGAUGUACUUGCUUUCGAGUCGGAUUGCUUGAGAAUGCAGUCCAAAGUGGGUGGUAAACUCCAUCCAAGGCUAAAUACUGGCACGAGUCCGAUAGUAGACAAGUACCGUGAGGGAAAGUUGAAAAGUACUCUGAAGAGAGAGUAAAUAGCACGUGAAGCCGGUUGCAGGGAAGCUGGUGGAGUCAAGCUUCAUGCUUGAGGGGUUUAUGUUAGCAACCCUGUGUUGUAUGGGCGUGUGGCUAGUCUACUUGGAAUAAGUUGGGCACAUCCGUGUGCUUCAAGUCAUUCUGGGUUGUGUGUUUGAGCUGGUCACAUCGUUCAGUUGCUAGCAUUCUAUCUCUCGUUGCAUAAAUCACGGUUGAUAGCUUUAUGCUGUGUGAUUGUCUAACUGUGCCACGGCGGGCCUGUGCUUGUCGGGUAUGGGAUGGCAGGUUGAGUCUGCGUGCCUUGUGUAUGUUGACUCUUAUAGUGGUUUUGACCAGCUGACUAUCAUGCAGUAUUGAAGUUAUCAUUGUUUUAUGGCGUACCGUCCUCGGACUGUGCGUCGGUUAGAACCGUGAUUCUGAGGUAGA
This 615-nucleotide ribosomal RNA is filed under the name Euryhaliotrema mehen. RNAcentral describes it as "LSU rRNA". It matches the Rfam family "Eukaryotic large subunit ribosomal RNA", at positions 212 to 628 of the family's 3401-position model. The record is from RNAcentral. Lineage: Eukaryota; Metazoa; Platyhelminthes; Monogenea; Dactylogyridea; Ancyrocephalidae.